Molecule: transfer RNA, 72 nt
Filed under: Candidatus Peribacteria bacterium
Lineage: Bacteria; Candidatus Peregrinibacteriota; Candidatus Peribacteria
Description: tRNA-His
Rfam family: tRNA
About the family: Transfer RNA (tRNA) molecules are approximately 80 nucleotides in length. Their secondary structure includes four short double-helical elements and three loops (D, anti-codon, and T loops).
Source: RNAcentral
GAGUGUAUAGCUCAGCGGUAGAGCAGUAGAUUGUGGAUCUAUUGGUGGCGGGUUCGACCCCCGUUACACUCC